This 253-nucleotide ribosomal RNA is filed under the name uncultured bacterium. Its description in RNAcentral is "partial 16S ribosomal RNA". It matches the Rfam family "Bacterial small subunit ribosomal RNA", at positions 524 to 776 of the family's 1533-position model. The record is from RNAcentral.
UACGUAGGGUGCGAGCGUUGUCCGGAAUUAUUGGGCGUAAAGGGCUCGUAGGCGGUCCGUCACGUCGGGAGUGAAAUCCUGGGGCUUAACCCCAGAACUGCUUCCGAUACGGGCAGACUAGAGGUAGGUAGGGGAGAAUGGAAUUCCUGGUGUAGCGGUGGAAUGCGCAGAUAUCAGGAGGAACACCAGUGGCGAAGGCGGUUCUCUGGGCCUUACCUGACGCUGAGGAGCGAAAGCGUGGGGAGCAAACAGG